GACGAACGCUGGCGGCGUGCUUAACACAUGCAAGUCGAACGAUGAAGCGGUGCUUGCACCGUGGAUUAGUGGCGAACGGGUGAGUAAUACGUGAGUGACCUACCUUUGACUCUGGGAUAAGCCGGGAAACUGGGUCUAAUACCGGAUACGACCAAUCUCUGCAUGGGGUGUUGGUGGAAAGCGUUAUGGAGUGGUUUUAGAUGGGCUCACGGCCUAUCAGCUUGUUGGUGAGGUAAUGGCUUACCAAGGCGACGACGGGUAGCCGGCCUGAGAGGGUGACCGGCCACACUGGGACUGAGACACGGCCCAGACUCCUACGGGAGGCAGCAGUGGGGAAUAUUGCACAAUGGGCGCAAGCCUGAUGCAGCGACGCCGCGUGAGGGAUGACGGCCUUCGGGUUGUAAACCUCUGUUAGCAUCGAAGAAGCGAAAGUGACGGUAGGUGCAGAGAAAGCGCCGGCUAACUACGUG
This 470-nucleotide ribosomal RNA is filed under the name uncultured bacterium. RNAcentral's name for it is "partial 16S ribosomal RNA". It matches the Rfam family "Bacterial small subunit ribosomal RNA", at positions 28 to 507 of the family's 1533-position model. The record is from RNAcentral.